Long non-coding RNA from Betta splendens (Siamese fighting fish), 468 nucleotides. RefSeq lists it as uncharacterized. NCBI's taxonomy places the organism in Eukaryota, Metazoa, Chordata, Actinopteri, Anabantiformes, Osphronemidae. The record is from RefSeq and is a predicted model, not a curated record. The transcript is spliced from 2 exons.
AGGCCUCUCCAGCUUCAAACAGGUUCUUCUUGGAGGCGACCUCGGGUGAACUGGGCAGAUCAGUCAGCGAUGCCUUCACUGCCCGCGCUUCCUGAGAGUUCUGCACAGUGACACGUCUGUUACUGCAGGCUGUUUCACAAGCUCAGUGGGAGCUUUGCUGCAGGAUGGCGUCAUCGCUCACAGCACGGGAGGAAACGUCUUUUAUUGCCUGAUUCAUUCGAGCUGCAGCUGCUCUGUUGAAAAGCAGAUUCACACCUGAUGGUGAACAGCAGCUGGAACGACAUCAUUCAUUAAUGAGCCGCUGAGGGACCCACUACCUCCAAUAAAACCCUCUUUAAAACCCAAGGAGCACCUGAUCCGGUGUGAACCAGUCACACCCGUCCAUACAACAAGCCGACACAGCAGCGUUGAUGGGCUGCUGAUCCCCCUCCUCCCCGUUAGCAACCGUGACACAAUAAACAUUGACUU